CUUUCUUGUGGGUGCGUAUGGUAUUCUGUACUGAUUACCUAUGAAAUGGAAUUAGAUGGCUUUAUUGUUUUCAUUCGCCAUGUACCCUUUUGGGUGUGAGGUGGACGUGAGGCGGGCUUUGUGUUCUUGGCAUGUCAAACGCUUUAGCGCUUGCUUGUCAUGGCCCAUGGAGCCUUAGCUUGUUCUCUCGGAUGUGGAAUACUAUGUGUGGGCGUGAGGUCUCGGCCUCAAAUCGUCUAAGCACUGUCCCUUGACUCGAAUGACUGUUGUGCUCGUCUUGAUCUUCCCGACCAAGGCCUCGUAAUGGGGCUUACUGGACGAGGGUUGCUCAUGCGGGUAUUAGCGUCAAAAAGGAAUGU
This 359-nucleotide unclassified non-coding RNA is filed under the name Neoschmidia pallida. RNAcentral describes it as "partial external transcribed spacer". The record is from RNAcentral. Lineage: Eukaryota; Viridiplantae; Streptophyta; Magnoliopsida; Sapindales; Rutaceae.